This 300-nucleotide ribosomal RNA is filed under the name Triticum aestivum (bread wheat). Its description in RNAcentral is "partial small subunit ribosomal RNA". The record is from RNAcentral. Lineage: Eukaryota; Viridiplantae; Streptophyta; Magnoliopsida; Poales; Poaceae.
AUGCUGGACAAGUUUGGUUUGGAGAUCAACCCCAACAACUUCAUCGACAUGCAGCGCAAGUGGAAAGAUCCAAAGACUGACAAAUACUACGACUCCUUGGCCGAUGUUGCAGGCGGUGUCAUCCACCCAUUCUACGACAGCAUGAAGAAGAAGAUGGACAGGGCAGACCACAAACUGUGGGGGACCAGCCCACUGCCAGACAACCUCAUCACGUACGCGGGAAUUGAUGCAUACGCAACAUACAAGUCAUGGAAGACAAUCGACAACAUCAUGACAGGUUGGGAUAUUUCAAAAGAUUGA